AGUGAACGCUGGCGGUAGGCCUAACACAUGCAAGUCGAACGGCAGCACAGUAAGAGCUUGCUCUUACGGGUGGCGAGUGGCGGACGGGUGAGGAACACAUCGGAAUCUACUUUUUCGUGGGGGAUAACGUAGGGAAACUUACGCUAAUACCGCAUACGACCUACGGGUGAAAGCAGGGGAUCUUCGGACCUUGCGCGAUUGAAUGAGCCGAUGUCGGAUUAGCUAGUUGGCGGGGUAAAGGCCCACCAAGGCGACGAUCCGUAGCUGGUCUGAGGGGAUGAUCAGCCACACUGGAACUGAGACACGGUCCAGACUCCUACGGGAGGCAGCAGUGGGGAAUAUUGGACAAUGGGCGCAAGCCUGAUCCAGCCAUACCGCGUGGGUGAAGAAGGCCUUCGGGUUGUAAAGCCCUUUUGUUGGGAAAGAAAAGCAGCAGGUUAAUACCCCGCUGUUCUGACGGUACCCAAAGAAUAAGCACCGGCUAACUUCGUG
This 492-nucleotide ribosomal RNA is filed under the name uncultured bacterium. RNAcentral's name for it is "partial 16S ribosomal RNA". It matches the Rfam family "Bacterial small subunit ribosomal RNA", at positions 29 to 507 of the family's 1533-position model. The record is from RNAcentral.